This 75-nucleotide transfer RNA is filed under the name Gammaproteobacteria bacterium. RNAcentral describes it as "tRNA-Gln". It matches the Rfam family "tRNA". Rfam says of the family: Transfer RNA (tRNA) molecules are approximately 80 nucleotides in length. Lineage: Bacteria; Pseudomonadati; Pseudomonadota; Gammaproteobacteria. RNAcentral also lists the same sequence under 2 other names. The record is from RNAcentral.
UGGGGUGUGGCCAAGCGGUAAGGCAGUGGCUUUUGAUGCCACCAUUCGCAGGUUCGAAUCCUGCCACCCCAACCA